Acanthosepion pharaonis is the source of this 115-nucleotide non-coding RNA. The record is from the annotation of a GenBank genome assembly. NCBI's taxonomy places the organism in Eukaryota, Metazoa, Mollusca, Cephalopoda, Sepiida, Sepiidae.
CUACGACCAUAUCCCGUUAAAAAUAUCGGUCCUCUUACGAGCACCAAAGUUAAACAACGUAGAACAUGAUCAGUACCUAGAUGGGUGACCCCAUGAGAAUACGAAGUGCUGUCAG